Molecule: ribosomal RNA, 830 nt
Filed under: uncultured beta proteobacterium
Lineage: Bacteria; Pseudomonadati; Pseudomonadota; Betaproteobacteria
Description: bacterial SSU rRNA
Rfam family: Bacterial small subunit ribosomal RNA
Source: RNAcentral
CUUCACAUGCAAGUCGAACGGUAGAGUAACAAUACUUGAGAGUGGCGAACGGGUGAGUAAUAUAUCGGAACGUGCCCAGUCGUGGGGGAUAACGUAGAGAAAUUUACGCUAAUACCGCAUACGAUCUAAGGAUGAAAGCGGGGGAUUCGCAAGAACCUCGCGCGGUUGGAGCGGCUGAUAUCAGAUUAGGUUGUUGGUGAGGUAAAAGCUCACCAAGCCGACGAUCUGUAGCUGGUUUGAGAGAACGACCAGCCACACUGGGACUGAGACACGGCCCAGACUCCUACGGGAGGCAGCAGUGGGGAAUUUUGGACAAUGGGCGAAAGCCUGAUCCAGCAAUGCCGCGUGUGGGAAGAAGGCCUUCGGGUUGUAAACCACUUUUGUACGGAACGAAACGGUUCGCUUUAAUACAGUGGGCUAAUGACGGUACCGUAAGAAUAAGCACCGGCUAACUACGUGCCAGCAGCCGCGGUAAUACGUAGGGUGCGAGCGUUAAUCGGAAUUACUGGGCGUAAAGCGUGCGCAGGCGGUUAUAUAAGACAGUUGUGAAAUCCCCGGGCUCAACCUGGGACCUGCAUUUGUGACUGUAUAGCUAGAGUACGGUAGAGGGGGAUGGAAUUCCGCGUGUAGCAGUGAAAUGCGUAGAUAUGCGGAGGAACACCGAUGGCGAAGGCAAUCCCCUGGACCUGUACUGACGCUCAUGCACGAAAGCGUGGGGAGCCAACAGGAUUAGAUACCCUGGUAGUCCACGCCCUAAACGAUGUCAACUGGUUGUUGGGUCUUCACUGACUCAGUAACGAAGCUAACGCGUUAAGUCGACCGCCUGGGGA